This 467-nucleotide ribosomal RNA is filed under the name Capitonius chontalensis. RNAcentral's name for it is "eukaryotic LSU rRNA". It matches the Rfam family "Eukaryotic large subunit ribosomal RNA", at positions 707 to 1129 of the family's 3401-position model. Lineage: Eukaryota; Metazoa; Arthropoda; Insecta; Hymenoptera; Braconidae. The record is from RNAcentral.
CCUAAAGGCAAAAUGAAAGUAAAGUUUAUUCUUGCGGUAAAUGAGGGAGGAUAGGUUGCAUUACGAUGUCAAUCUCGCAUUCCCAGGGCGUCUCAUUCUCAUUACGAGAGGAGGCGCACCUAGAGCGUACACGUUGGGACCCGAAAGAUGGUGAACUAUGCCUGGUCAGGAUGAAGCCAGGGGAAACUCUGGUGGAGGUCCGUAGCGAUUCUGACGUGCAAAUCGAUCGUCAGAACUGGGUAUAGGGGCGAAAGACUAAUCGAACCAUCUAGUAGCUGGUUCCCUCCGAAGUUUCCCUCAGGAUAGCUGGCGCUCGUAAUUAUUAUUUACGAGUCUCAUCUGGUAAAGCGAAUGAUUAGAGGCAUUGGGGCCGAAACGACCUCAACCUAUUCUCAAACUUUAAAUGGGUGAGAUCUCUAGCUUGCUUAAAUUAUGAAGCUAUGAGAUUGGAUCAGAGUGCCAAGUGG